UCGACGAUCGGGCAAUCAAGUGAAUCGACUCAAUCAACCGAGCCAGAUCGCAUCAUUUGGUAUCAGAGCUUGAAAACGAGGAGUACCGAAGAUCGAAGAAUUCAAAUUAGGUUCGUGAAUUAAAAAAAUUCGUGCAAAAAAAAUUCGUGCAUAAAAAAAGAGAGGUUGUAUUUGUUUACAUUUGUAUUCAACUUAUUGUAAUUGAAAAGUUAGAAAAAAAAAGGAAGAAGAGAGUUCGAGUUUAAAAAAAAAAAGAAGGUAUCGAAAUUUUAUGCUUGCAAGUACCGAUCUCAAGAAAUUUUCUAUCUUUCUUGUCCUACCUCCCAACGCCACACUUAGCCUUGAUUUUAUUUUGUUUAGCCUACCCUACACCCACAUCAUUCCUUU
Molecule: long non-coding RNA, 387 nt
Filed under: Gossypium raimondii (Peruvian cotton)
Lineage: Eukaryota; Viridiplantae; Streptophyta; Magnoliopsida; Malvales; Malvaceae
Description: long non-coding RNA (GRAI_LNC011085)
Source: RNAcentral